UACGGAGGGUGCAAGCGUUAAUCGGAAUUACUGGGCGUAAAGCGCGCGUAGGCGGUUUUUUAAGUCGGAUGUGAAAGCCCCGGGCUCAACCUGGGAACUGCAUCCGAUACUGGAAGACUAGAAUGCGGGAGAGGGAGGUAGAAUUCCAUGUGUAGCAGUGAAAUGCGUAGAUAUAUGGAGGAAUACCAGUNGCGAAGGCGGCCUCCUGGCUCGNNAUUGACGCUGAGGUGCGAAAGCGUGGGGAGCAAACGGG
This 253-nucleotide ribosomal RNA is filed under the name uncultured bacterium. RNAcentral's name for it is "partial 16S ribosomal RNA". It matches the Rfam family "Bacterial small subunit ribosomal RNA", at positions 524 to 776 of the family's 1533-position model. The record is from RNAcentral.